This 492-nucleotide ribosomal RNA is filed under the name uncultured bacterium. Its description in RNAcentral is "partial 16S ribosomal RNA". It matches the Rfam family "Bacterial small subunit ribosomal RNA", at positions 29 to 507 of the family's 1533-position model. The record is from RNAcentral.
AGUGAACGCUGGCGGUAGGCCUAACACAUGCAAGUCGAACGGCAGCACAGUAAGAGCUUGCUCUUACGGGUGGCGAGUGGCGGACGGGUGAGGAAUACAUCGGAAUCUACUUUUUCGUGGGGGAUAACGUAGGGAAACUUACGCUAAUACCGCAUACGACCUACGGGUGAAAGCAGGGGAUCUUCGGACCUUGCGCGAUUGAAUGAGCCGAUGUCGGAUUAGCUAGUUGGCGGGGUAAAGGCCCACCAAGGCGACGAUCCGUAGCUGGUCUGAGAGGAUGAUCAGCCACACUGGAACUGAGACACGGUCCAGACUCCUACGGGGGGCAGCAGUGGGGAAUAUUGGACAAUGGGCGCAAGCCUGAUCCAGCCAUACCGCGUGGGUGAAGAAGGCCUUCGGGUUGUAAAGCCCUUUUGUUGGGAAAGAAAAGCAGCAGGUUAAUACCCCGCUGUUCUGACGGUACCCAAAGAGUAAGCACCGGCUAACUUCGUG